CUAUUUGCGAUAUAAGAGUGGGUGUGCGUCUGUAGUUAGGUAGUUGGUAAGGGUAACCGGCCUAACCAACGCCGACGAUCAGUAGGGGGUGUGAGAGCAUGGCCCCCCACACGGGUACUGAGACACGGACCCGACUCCUACGGGAGGCAGCAGUAAGGAAUAUUGGUCAAUGGAGGCGACUCUGAACCAGCCAUUCCGCGUGAAGGAUGAAUGCCCUCUGGGUUGUAAACUUCUUUAGUCUGGGAAGAAAAACAUAUAUUCAUAUAUGUCUGACGGUACCAGAAGAAUAAGCACUGGCUAACUCCGUG
This 308-nucleotide ribosomal RNA is filed under the name uncultured bacterium. RNAcentral's name for it is "bacterial SSU rRNA". It matches the Rfam family "Bacterial small subunit ribosomal RNA", at positions 208 to 507 of the family's 1533-position model. The record is from RNAcentral.